CGCAUAUGAAGGAGACAGACCGAUGGGACUGACACGAUCUUUGAAUGUCCUCAUGAUCUGUGCAGCAUUUGCAUUUGUUGCAGCGUUGAUAGCAGGCGUCAUACCGUAAAGCAGGCGCAUCAGACGAUUACGGCGACACAGGUUUCGAGGAUAGACCGGUCUCGCAAGAAACAGAAAGCCCGCCGAAACGGCGGGCUUUUU
RNAcentral lists this small RNA (201 nucleotides) under Ochrobactrum sp. P6BSIII. Its description in RNAcentral is "sRNA Atu_C9". It matches the Rfam family "Rhizobiales sRNA Atu_C9". Lineage: Bacteria; Pseudomonadati; Pseudomonadota; Alphaproteobacteria; Hyphomicrobiales; Brucellaceae. The record is from RNAcentral.